UAAUGACUGUGAUGAUGAUGGUGAUGAUGAUGAUGAUGAUUGAUACUGGCUGGAAGAGAGUAAAAAUAAUACCGUCACAAUCAUCAUUAUCGUUAUUAUUAUUAUCUUCUUCU
Molecule: microRNA precursor, 113 nt
Filed under: Bigelowiella natans CCMP2755
Lineage: Eukaryota; Cercozoa; Chlorarachniophyceae
Description: miRNA EPrBNAG00000013543
Source: RNAcentral